Molecule: ribosomal RNA, 497 nt
Filed under: uncultured bacterium
Lineage: Bacteria
Description: partial 16S ribosomal RNA
Rfam family: Bacterial small subunit ribosomal RNA
Source: RNAcentral
GACGAACGCUGGCGGCGUGCUUAACACAUGCAAGUCGAACGGUGAAACGCCUUCCUUUUUGGUGGGUGUGGAUGAGUGGCGAACGGGUGAGUAACACGUGAGUAACCUGCCCCCUUCUUCUGGAUAACCGCAUGAAAGUGUGGCUAAUACGGGAUAUUCUGGGUCUGUCGCAUGAUGGGUCUGGGAAAGAUAUUGUUUCGGUGGGGGAUGGGCUCGCGGCCUAUCAGCUUGUUGGUGGGGUGAUGGCCUACCAAGGCGGGGAGGGAUAGCCGGCCUGAGAGGGGGAGCGGCCGGACAGGAGGGGAGUCACGGACGGGCCUGCUUCGUAAGGCAGCCGGAGGGGGGGAUUAUUGAAGAGUGGGCGCAUGCCGGAUCCAGGCACGCCGCGUGAGGAAGGGCGUCGUUCGGGUAGUGACCCUCUUUCGCGAGUAAAACAGGCCUGCCUCGUUGUUGGGUGGUUGAAGGUAACCUGAUAAGAAGCGCCGGCUAACUACGUG